RNAcentral lists this long non-coding RNA (500 nucleotides) under Homo sapiens (human). RNAcentral's name for it is "non-protein coding lnc-CCSER2-2:1". The record is from RNAcentral. Lineage: Eukaryota; Metazoa; Chordata; Mammalia; Primates; Hominidae.
GAAGAAAAGCCACCCUGGGAGCAAAGCAAGUUAGGGUUGUAAGAGACAUUUCUGAGAUUAAAGCAGCCAGAUCUAUGAUGGGGUGGGUACGGGUGGUUAAAGAGAAACAGAACGUGAGAAUGACUCAUGAGACUAUUAAACUGACUUAACUGAAAUUUUAAAAAAGGGGGAAAUACCAACUACGAUGCACCCCCCCCACCCCCACCACACCAUGUUUUAAUGCUACUCAAGGUCUAUGGCUGGGAAAGGCCACUUGUUUUUCUUCAGUUAAUGCUGAGACUGUUUGUCUGCCAGAGACACCCCAUAGAGGAUCCAUCCUUAGACCUCAGUUAACGGCCUGGAUCUGGAAAGUGGUGGCUUCAAACAAAUCCAGCCCCUGCAUCCUCCAGAGAUCACAGCUGACAUAGAAUGUAUGUGUCUGCGGCAGGCAGCCAUGUGUGCAUCAGCCAGCAGCCUCCCCAUCAGCACCCUACAGUGGAAUUGUGGGGCUUCCCCCAACA